CACCAGCACCCGGAUGCACCAAAGAUCACUAGGUUGGUUCUGGCUGAGCCAGGCUCCGUAGACACUCAGCCCAUAGCAGGAGAAAAAGAUCAUAGAGUAGUUGGUGACAGCAAUGAUCCACAGUACAAUCAACGCAGCAGUCAUCUGCCUGUGCGGAACAGUAAAAAAAGACUUCUCAUUGAUCCACAAGUUACCUUGGUGUUUUGAUCAGACAAUUUUCUUUUUUAUUUUCACCAGGUCGGCUAGCCGAGAACAAGUUCUCAUUUACAACUGUGACCUGGCCAAGAUAAAGCAAAGCAGUUCGACACAUACCACAACAGAGUAACACAUGGAAUAAACAAAAAUACAGUAGACAGGUCUAUACAGUAUGUGCAAAUGAGGUAGGAUAAGGGAGGUAAGGCAAUAAAUACGCCAUGGUGGCGAAUUAAUUACAAUAUAACAAUUAAACACUGGAAUGGUAGAUGUGCAGAAGAUUAAUGUGCAAGUAGAGAUACUGGGAUGCAAAGGAGCAAGAUAAAGAAAUACAGUAUGGGGAAGCGGUAGUUGGAUGGGCUAUUUACAGAUGGGCUAUGUACAGGUGCAGUGAUCAGUGAGCUGCUAUGACAAGCUGGUGCUUAAAGCUAGUGAGGCAGAUAGGAGUCUCCAGCUUCAGUGAUUUUUGCAGUUCGUUUCAGUCAUUGGCAGCAGAGAACUGGGAGGUAAGGCAGCCAAAGUAAGAAUUGGCUUUGGGGUGACCAGUGAGAUACACCUGCUGGAGCGCGUGCUACGGGUGGGUGCUGCUAUGGUGACCAGUGAGCUGAGGUAAGGCGGGGCUUUACCUAGCAGAGACUUGUAGAUGACCUGGGGCCAGUGGUUUUGGCUUCGAGUAUGAAGCGAGGGCCAACCAACGAGAGCAUACAGGUCGCAGUGGUGGGUAGUAUAUGGGAUUUGUGACAAAAUGGAUGCCACUGUGAUAGACUGCAUCCAAUUUGUUGAGUAGAGUGUUGGAGGCUAUUUUGUAAAUGACAUCGCUGAAGUCUUUUACAAGAGUAUGUUUGGCAGCAUGAGUGAAGGAAGCUUUGUUGCGAAAUAGGAAGCCGAUUCUAGAUUUAAUUUUGGAUUGGAGAUACUUAAUGUGAGUCUGGAAGGAGAGUUUACAGUCUAACCAGACACCUAGGUAUUUGCAGUUGUCCACAUAUUCUAAGUCAGAACCGUCCAGAGUAGUGAUGCUGGACGGGCGGGAAGGUGCGCGCAGCGAUCGGUUGAAGAGCAUGCAUUUAGUUUUACUUGCCUUUAAGAGCAGUUGGAGGCCACAGAAGGAGAGUUAUGGCAUUGAAGCUCGUCUGGAGGUUAGUUAACAGUGUCCAAAGGGCCAGAGGUAUACAGAAUUCCUGUCCUACAAUCUAUAGGCCUGGUUUUUAUCACAGCAUGAUAGAGACCCACAAAAAUACGAUGAAUCUCAAUGGGUCCAAUUAUAUGAACCUUGUGUCGUAACAUUGUAUUCAUACAUUAUGCAUUUCUAUUUUAAUUGUAAAAUAAAGAAGUUAAGGGGGGAUCGCUAGGCCUAUGUGGUUCAACUUCUCUCAAUGUUCUCUACAGACUGGCAGAGGCCCACAGUGUGGGUAGGUGUGGUUAUAGUAACACCUUGAAUACACCGCCGACGUUACGUGUGAGAGCAUUGCAAAAUAAAUUUACACAGAUGUUAUUCAAUCAUUUCAACCAAACUAAUCACACGUCACAGUGUCUGUGUAGCGUAGCAAGGCGGUAAAUAUAACUUGGUUCUAUUUAAGAUGCUCGACGGGCUGCAAAUGCCCUCCUUAUUGGUUACCAGGAAGAUACAAACCUACGUGGAUGACAAAGACAAACGAGGAGUGAUUCAGAGAUAAAAAGGGAAACUUAGUUUGUUGUUAGUUAUCUAUUGAUUAAUCGUCUGAGUAGAGAAACACACUUUUGUAUGAAUCUGGGUCCUUUUUUUUAUAUAUUUUUUUUACAAAGAACCAGCUAUAAAGAGGACCAUAUGAAUGUCAGGUUAAACAACCCAAUGUUAAUCUCCCAAAACAAACAAGCUAGCAACAUGCAUGUUUCAACUUGCCUGGAAAUAAAUAUUGAUUUUGAUAUUUUAACCUACAUGUAAUGAUUGCGCCUGGUGGAGAUAGGCAAAAUGAUCACGCGAACAUUGGCGCAGGGCUGGUCUAGCCAUGGGGGAAGUGGAGAUGCAGUAUUUUGCUUCCACCCAUCUACUUAAAAACAGGUUAGUCAGGCAACAGAAACUCAUUGGUUUAGGUGUUAAAAGACUGUUGCGCACUCUUGAACCCAUAGGACAAGCCAGGUCAUGUUGAAGGCCAUGUUGACUAUCCAGGACACGUAGAAACCGUACGGCAGCACAAAGAGGGUCCAGCUCCUGAGGAAUUGAAAAUAAAGUUGGCAUCAGAACAAACAUUCUAUGCACACCCUUUGGAAGGAAAGAAGAUCAGCUGGGAGGUAAAAAGUCACCCAUUCAAUGGAGUUCCAUUUCAGGUUGUGGGCACAAGCACAUAUGAAUGCCAUCAGGGGAAAGACCGACAAGUAAAAGCUAAAGAGAAACAUGCUGCUAAAAUGAACAAGAAGGCGCUUGAAGACCAUGCCUUAAAGAGACGGAAACAAAAUACAAAGAAGGUGGACUGCAAGGCUUUAAUAAACAUCGCCCACAUUAUCCGCUUUCCUGGUUUUAAGAUUGAGGAGAGUACUGUGCGCUCUAAAAAGGAGGCCUCCAAAGAUCUGAAGGCAGCUCUAAGUGAAAAACCAAGCUCUGUGAAGGCAGAGGUUGUCUACUGUGUCAGGUUCCCCUCUCUCUCUGAGCAUAGCUCACACGCACUUGUUGGUGAGAGGUCCUCUAAGAAGAACUUGAAGAUGUUGCAGAAGCAAUGUGCAGGCUAUCUAAAAGAAAUCACAGACCUCACCUAUCAUCUUCAAGAUGAACAGUACAUGACUGGCCUGUCUUCACAUCUGCAAAGCCUAUUGCAGGAAAUGAAAGGACUUGUCCCACAGGAUAAAGAUCUCACACUGACCCUUUCCCCAAGGAAGAGAAAGGCUGAGGAGGACAUGGCCACCCUACCAACCCAGGGAGCAUCGCAACCUUUCACCGACAGUGUAGGACAGCAUGCAGAUUUACAGAACACAUGCGAAGAACCAUGUUUGCCAAAUUGAGUGUGGAGUGAGAUUGCUUAUAGGCAGGGAGCCUAGGGCGCCGGAGGAUGGCAG
Molecule: long non-coding RNA, 3219 nt
Organism: Oncorhynchus tshawytscha (Chinook salmon)
Lineage: Eukaryota; Metazoa; Chordata; Actinopteri; Salmoniformes; Salmonidae
Source: Ensembl